CUCCUAUCUACUAUCUAGCGAAACCACAGCCAAGGGAACGGGCUUGGCAGAAUCAGCGGGGAAAGAAGACCCUGUUGAGCUUGACUCUAGUCUGACUCUGUGAAGAGACAUGAGAGGUGUAGCAUAAGUGGGAGGCCCUUUAACCGGGGACCGACAGUGAAAUACCACUACUCUCAUCGUUUCUUUACUUACUCGGUGAGGCGGGGAGCGAGUGUUUCCAGCACUCACAAUUCUAGCGCCAAGUCUGGGAAGGGUGUUUCAGGUAAAACGGCUGAUCGGCUUAACGGUUGGUUCUGCCCGUUCGUCCGAACGCCCAACAUUUCCCAGGCGACCCGCUCCGAGGACACUGUCAGGCGGGGAGUUUGACUGGGGCGGUACAUCUGUCAAAAGGUAACGCAGGUGUCCUAAGGCGAGCUCAGCGAGGACAGAAACCUCGCGUAGAGUAAAAGGGCAAAAGCUUGCUUGAUCCCGAUUUUCAGUACGAAUACGGACCGCGAAAGCGUGGCCUAUCGAUCCUUUUGACUUUAUGAGUUUUAAGCAAGAGGUGUCAGAAAAGUUACCACAGGGAUAAC
RNAcentral lists this ribosomal RNA (572 nucleotides) under Mecistocephalus sp. EBU39241. RNAcentral describes it as "eukaryotic LSU rRNA". It matches the Rfam family "Eukaryotic large subunit ribosomal RNA", at positions 2342 to 2830 of the family's 3401-position model. The record is from RNAcentral. Lineage: Eukaryota; Metazoa; Arthropoda; Chilopoda; Geophilomorpha; Mecistocephalidae.